This is a long non-coding RNA of Lates calcarifer (barramundi perch), 296 nucleotides long. RefSeq lists it as uncharacterized. The transcript has 3 exons. The record is from RefSeq and is a predicted model, not a curated record. NCBI's taxonomy places the organism in Eukaryota, Metazoa, Chordata, Actinopteri, Centropomidae.
AUUAUGACCAUCAAGACAACAACCGUGAGUCUCAAAGACCUCCAGACGCCUGAAUGACAAGAUAGGUCAUCUGUCAGUACCCUGAUAAGAGGUUAAUGUAAACAGAGGAAGUUAGAUGUUUUCGAACAAACGAUUAAUGCUCUAUAAUGACACGCGUUGUAUGAAAUUCUACCAUCCACAGAGGAGAGGUGGACAGCUACUGAGGCUCUGUAGAAAUGAUGAAUGCACGUGUGCUGAAGAGAACUGCAGUAUGCAGAAGAAGGGCAAAAUCACCAAUGAUCAGCGCACAGCUAAAU